RNAcentral lists this ribosomal RNA (429 nucleotides) under Actinomycetes bacterium. RNAcentral's name for it is "Actinobacteria bacterium partial 16S ribosomal RNA". It matches the Rfam family "Bacterial small subunit ribosomal RNA", at positions 355 to 776 of the family's 1533-position model. The record is from RNAcentral. Lineage: Bacteria; Bacillati; Actinomycetota; Actinomycetes.
UAGGGAAUCUUCCGCAAUGGGCGAAAGCUUGACGGAGCAACGCCGCGUGAGUGAUGAAGGUCUUCGGAUCGUAAAACUCUGUUAUUAGGGAAGAACAAAUGUGUAAGUAACUAUGCACGUCUUGACGGUACCUAAUCAGAAAGCCACGGCUAACUACGUGCCAGCAGCCGCGGUAAUACGUAGGUGGCAAGCGUUAUCCGGAAUUAUUGGGCGUAAAGCGCGCGUAGGCGGUUUUUUAAGUCUGAUGUGAAAGCCCACGGCUCAACCGUGGAGGGUCAUUGAAAACGGGAAAACUUGAGUGCAGAAGAGGAAAGUGGAAUUCCAUGUGUAGCGGUGAAAUGCGCAGAGAUAUGGAGGAACACCAGUGGCGAAGGCGACUUUCUGGUCUGUAACUGACGCUGAUGUGCGAAAGCGUGGGGAUCAAACAGG